Molecule: ribosomal RNA, 85 nt
Filed under: uncultured bacterium
Lineage: Bacteria
Description: partial 16S rRNA
Source: RNAcentral
AUGGGCGAAAGCCUGAUCGGAGUAAUACCGCGUGAGGGAAGACUGCCUAUGGGUUGUAAACCUCUUUUUUCAGGGAGGAACUAAU